Molecule: RNA transcript, 842 nt
Organism: Armigeres subalbatus
Lineage: Eukaryota; Metazoa; Arthropoda; Insecta; Diptera; Culicidae
Exons: 3
Source: RefSeq, a predicted model, not a curated record
GUCCGUGUCCAUCAAAGGAAAUAGAAGUGCGCGACGUGAUCCUAAAAUUAAAGUUAGUGUUAAAUGUUAAAAAUUAAAUGGUGUAAAUUAUUAAACUUUUUGGUGUCAUUGUAGGUUAAAACUUAAAAGUUACGAUAGUAGUAAAUCUUAAAAACUAUUAUCACAGUUCGAAGUAGUACGAAUAUAAUAAGCCACAAGAAGAGUGAAGAAGCAUUGUUCAAACUCAAUUAGCCUCACAAAAAGGUCCGUCCAACGGGCCUUUUUGUGUUUUUUGCGAGUGCUUGCCUGGCAAGCCGAUCUUCCCCAGAACCCCCGGAACAACGUCAUAAAGGCUGAAGGAUUGGAAUCCGUCAACACAUUCCGAUCGGGAAUAUCCCCAAAACGGACAGAAACCCCAUCCAGCCCCAACGUUCCACCAAGGUUCAUCGAGGAGACCGACCGGUUUAUGUUACGGCGUAAAUUCGGUCUAGUCAAUCCGAACCCAGCUACGAACCGCCAUUGCUUGACGCCAACGAAACCGAGCAUCCCAGACCGGUUCAUGUUCCGGCGUGAAUUCGGUCACCCCUCAACCGCCCUUGAAAUCUGCCACCAAAAACCGCACACCACCAGUUCCCGUACCACUUCUACCAACCAACAAGCGCACAAAACAUCCUGAAAAUUUGUAAACCGCAAGUACCACAAACCUAAUUUAGAGUGACGUCACUAAUAGGCCAGUUUAGGUGAAUAAAUAGUUGUAAAUCGAUUAUAGUUGGUGGUUAAGUUUUUUAUGCAGUGUUCCCUAACAGUUGAGUAGUUUACACCUAAUUUCAAUUUGUUUCCGUUUGCCGUGCUCAGAAAGGAGU